GUGGUUCCGGGGAUGCAGCCUCCCACUUGUGUGUGUUCGGGAGAGCGCCCCUCCACCCGUGUGUGUCUGGGGGUGCUGCCUCACGUGUGUCUGGGGGUAGGUGCACGUCUCCACCUGUGUGUGUUCCGGGGGUGCGGCCUCUCCACCUGUGUGUGUUCCGGGGGGGUGCGGCCUCUCCACCUGUGUGUGUUCCGGGGGGUGCAGCCUCUCCAUCUGUGUCCUUGGGGAGGGGAGGGUGCGGCCUUUCCAUCUCUGUGUCCUGUGCGGCCCUUCCAUCUCUGUGUCUGGGGGUUGUGGGCAUUCCAUCCUGUGUCUUGUCUGAGUCUUCUCUUGACAGCUGUGACCUGGAAGCCACGUCCAGGUGUGUCCAGAGUUGGUUCCUUCCAGUGGGUUCAUGGUCUCGCUGACUUCAAGAAUGGAGCCACGGACCUUAGCGCUAGCUACAGAAAAGUUCUCCAAGUCCCUACUCGACCCAGGAAGUCCAGCCGCUUCAGCUCAAGAAAUCUCUUGCAGCAGAAACAUGAGCAUCCGCUCACGCCGGUGGCUUCCCAUUUACUGUAAUCCCAGCACUGGAGGCCGAGGUAAG
RNAcentral lists this long non-coding RNA (586 nucleotides) under Papio anubis (olive baboon). Its description in RNAcentral is "lncRNA (ENSPANG00000048543.1)". Lineage: Eukaryota; Metazoa; Chordata; Mammalia; Primates; Cercopithecidae. The record is from RNAcentral.